CCGCGCCGUCCGAGGACCACACCCAAAACACCCGAGCAAUGCAGUGUCGUCCGAGCGCGAUCGAAUCGACCAAAACUUUCAACAACGGAUCUCUUGGUUCUGGCAUCGAUG
This 111-nucleotide ribosomal RNA is filed under the name Emmanuelia patinifera. RNAcentral describes it as "5.8S ribosomal RNA". The record is from RNAcentral. Lineage: Eukaryota; Fungi; Ascomycota; Lecanoromycetes; Peltigerales; Lobariaceae.